This 506-nucleotide ribosomal RNA is filed under the name uncultured bacterium. Its description in RNAcentral is "bacterial SSU rRNA". It matches the Rfam family "Bacterial small subunit ribosomal RNA", at positions 28 to 527 of the family's 1533-position model. The record is from RNAcentral.
GAUGAACGCUAGCGACAGGCUUAACACAUGCAAGUCGAGGGGCAGCAUAAAAGUAGCAAUACUUUGGUGGCGACCGGCGCACGGGUGAGUAACGCGUAUGCAACCUACCUAUCAGAGGGGAAUAACCCGGCGAAAGUCGGACUAAUACCGCAUAAAACAGGGGCACCGCAUGGUGAUAUUUGUUAAAGAAAUUCGCUGAUAGAUGGGCAUGCGUUCCAUUAGGUAGUUGGUGAGGUAACGGCUCACCAAGCCUACGAUGGAUAGGGGAACUGAGAGGUUGGUCCCCCACACUGGUACUGAGACACGGACCAGACUCCUACGGGAGGCAGCAGUGAGGAAUAUUGGUCAAUGGGCGAGAGCCUGAACCAGCCAAGUCGCGUGAAGGAAGAAGGAUCUAUGGUUCGUAAACUUCUUUUGCAGGGGAAUAAAGUGCAGGACGUGUCCUGUUUUGUAUGUACCCUGAGAAUAAGGAUCGGUAACUCCGUGCCAGCAGCCGCGGUAAAACG